AAGCCAUGCAUGUGUAGGCGAGCAUUUUGUGGAGCGGCGGAAGGCUCAGUAACGGGCGUCUAUUUGAUCUUCUGAGACGGACAACCUCUGUAACCGGAGGCCAAUACGUCGGAGACACGGUUACCGGUGGUGGUGUGUCAAAAGCGGUUGCGCGGAAGAGUAAGGAGCCAUCCCAUCAGUUAGUAAGUAGGGUAAGGGCCUACUUAGACGAAGACGGGUACGGGGAAUUGUGGUUUGAUUCCGGAGAGGGAGCCUGAGAGACGGCUACCAGGUCCAAGGACAGCAGCAGGCGCGAAAAUUACCGAAGCCUCCGGUGAGGGCGGUAGUAAGGAGACGUGGAAACGAUGAGGAGGUAAAGAAUGCUCUGGUAACAGGAGGUCAAGACUGGUGCCAGCAUCCGCGGUAAUACCAGCUCCUGGAGUGUCUAUGAUGAUUGCUGCAGUUAAAGAGUUCGUAGUCGGGCUGCGUGACUGGCGUGAAAGGCCUUCUUUCAAGGGGGGCAGAGCGCUAGGAAAGCAGAGGAUAAGGAGCGUUUUGGGGCCAGGUUAUUAAGCGACGAGAGGUGAAAUUUGAUGACUCGCUUAGGAGGAACAGAGGCGAAAGCGCUGGCCAGGGGCGAAUCCGAUGAUAAAGGACGUAGGCUAGAGGAUCGAAGACGAUUAGAGACCGUUGUAGUUCUAGCAGUAAACGAUGCCGAUGCCGUGGUGCGUGCGCGCGACGCGGAGGAGAAAUUGAGUAGGGCCCUGGGGAGAGUACACGCGCAAGCGAGAAAUUUAAAGGAAAUUGACGGAAGAACACCACAAGGAGUGGAGUGUGCGGCUUAAUUUGACUCAACGCGGGACAGCUUACCAGGCCCGACGACCGCAGGAGUGUUGUACACGAUAGGUCGAAGAGUGGUGCAUGGCCGUUAACGACAAGUGGGGUGACCUUUGGGUUAAGUCCGGGAAGUAGUGAGACCCCUGCUGUUUUUUUUUUUGGACAGGACAGGUGCUCAAAGCACAGGAAGGAAGGGUCAAGAACAGGUCAGUGAUGCCCUUAGAUGGUCUGGGCUGCACGCGCACUACAGUGGUCACAGAAAGGAUUUUCGAGAGAUAAUGGUGAUCGAGAGGGAAUGAGCUUUGCAAGAGGCUCAGGAACGAGGAAUUGCUAGUAAUCGCGGGCUCAUUAAGACGCGAUGAAUACGUCCCUGUUCUUUGUACACACCGCCCGUCGUUAUCGAAGAUGGAGUCAGGCGCGAACAAGCGAGAGCGAGUGAGUGCAGGAUUCUAGAUGUGAUACAAGUCGUAACAAGGUAGCUGUAGGAGAACCUGUAGCUGGAUCAGAGCGAUGGUAGAGAUUUGGUUUUGAUGAGUAUGCCCUGCGCAAGGGAUCUUUUGGCUCGCUGUGCGAGGAAGGGCGCAGCUGCGGGCGAAAUGUGCCGGAGCGGCAGCGGUGAUGGCACGUGCCCGAAGAUGCGCGAGCAGGCAGACCCCUUUGAAUUAAGCAUAUGAGUAGAGGGAGGAAAAGAAACUAACAAGGAUUCCCGCAGUAGCGGCGAGCGAAGAGGGAAGAGCCCGGAGUGCAAUCGCAGCGAUGCGAGAUGUCAGGAGUGCGCGGAACCGUUCUGGAAAGACGGGCCGGAGAGGGUGAGAGCCCCGUGGACGCGUGCGUUGGUGUUGGAGUAGCGGUGCUUGGUAGUGCACCGUGAAUGGGUGGCAGCGUGCAUCCAAGGCUAAAUACUGCAGCGAGACCGAUAGUGGAUAAGUAGAGUGAUCGAAGAAGGAAUAGUUUGAAAAGGUGAAAUUGCGCAGGGAGCCGAGCGGCUCGGCCCCGUCUUGAAACACGGACCAAGGAGUGCAAGUACGCGGCGAGUCGGGGGCGGUGAGUGCCCUGGGCGGAGCGAAGGCGAGGGAGCCGCGUGCCUGCGACCCGAUAGACUUGUGAACUAUGCCUGGAGGCUGCGAAGGCUGACGAAAGACAGCUGGAGGCAGUAAGCCGUUCUGAUGUGCAAAUCGAUGGCGAGAGCUGGGCAUAGGGGCGAAAGACCAAACGAACAGUCUGGUAGCUGGUUCCCCCCGAAAUGUGUAUAAGGACAGCACGCGAGCAGAGAGAGGCUAGGUAGAGCAAAGGUCGCUUAACGCGAGUGGCGAACGAACUGCGAAUGAGCCUGGCGGGCCGUGCGUGAAGACGGGCCGCGGACUUGAGCGAGCGUAGUGGGCGAGUUCUGGUAAGCAGGACUGGCGAAGAGGAAUGAACCUAGCGGGACGAUAAGGCACCCAACAUUGUGGCAGAGACGUGAAGGGUGUAGGUGAAUGAAGACGAUAGGGCGGUGGCCAUGGAAGUCGGCAUCCGGUAAGAAACGUGUUGCAACGUACCUAUGGAAUUCAGCUGCUCCGAAAAUUGACGGUGCUUACGCGAUGGCCGAUGCGUCUCUUGAGGUAGGGGGGCGUGCAGGUGCUGGAGAAGGUGUGCCGCGAGGCACGGUGGAGGCGCCUGCAGCGCAGAUCUUGGUGGUAGUAGUGAGAAUUCGUCUGGGAGGGCGAAGACCGAGGAGGAGAAGGUUUUCCUUACGAUGGACAACAGUGAGGAGUGAGCCGGUUCUGAGCGACGGUGUGGAUGCCAGAGCGACAGAGAAGCAGGAGGGCUUUCCUGCGCCGCGGUGCUGUGCGGCAACGCGCUGUGUCUGUUGACGGGUCUGGUUGUGCGGGGCAGAGCAUCCUUCUCUGCAGAGGUGUGAGCGUGCCCGGAGAUGGGUCAGCCAGCGGACGGCACGUGCAGCGUCAGGCCGACGUGUCGGCACCCGCAGACAGCAGGCCCCCGUGAAAAGGCAGAUGCGGCGGCACCGCGACCGUACCGAUAACCGCGACAGGUCUCCGAGGUGAGUAGCCUCUGGUUGAUGUUUAACGCAGGUAAGGGAAGUCGGCAAAAUGGAUGCGUAACUUCGGGAGAAGUAUUGGUUCUUACGGAACUGUUGGUGGCACGGGGAAUCUGACUGUUUAAUAGAAACAUAGCUUCGUGAAGGAGAGACGAAGUGAGUUCUGCCCGGUGCUCGAAGAGUGAAGGGCCGGAGACGGCUGUAAGCACGGGUCAACGGCGGGAGUAACUAUGACUCUCUUAAGGUAGCCAAACGCCUCGUCACUUAAAUGGUGACGCGCAUGAAUGGAAUGACGAGAUUCCCACUGUCCCUACCUGCAGACUAGCGAACCCACGGGCCAGGGGAACGGGCCUGGCACAGUCAGCGGGGAAAGAAGACCCUGUUGAGCUUGACUCUAGUGUGGCAGAGCGGUGGGGACAGUUGCGAUGUAGGAAGGUGGGAGCUUCGGCACAAGUGAAAGACCACUGCGCAACAGUCCCCAUUGGACACCCCUGCGGGGAUGGCUGCCAGAUGGGGAGUUUGGCUGGGGCGGCACGGCUGCAGCAACAGAACGCAGCCGUCCGAAGGCACUUGCAGCGAGACGAGAACACCCGCGUGGAGCAUAAGGGCUUUAGAGUGCUUGAGCACAGGCUGGGCGGCCUGUGUGCGGGGAAACCCAGGCCUAGAGAUCCCACGAUCACGAGACGGUUGUGGCGUGGGUGACAGAAAAGUUACCGCAGGGAUAACUGGCUUGUGGCACCCGAGCGCAGAAAGCGACGGUGCUUUUUGAUUCUUCGAUGUCGGCUCUUCCUAUCAUGGCCAUGCAGGAGUGGCGAAGUGUUGGAUUGUUCACCCACAAACAGGGAACGUGAGCUGGGUUUAGACCGUCGUGAGACAGGUUAGUUUUAUCCUACUGACUGGCGUGGAAGGGCAGAGGGUUGUAGUACGAAAGGAAGGCCCC
RNAcentral lists this ribosomal RNA (3794 nucleotides) under Heterosporis sp. NBDP-2013a. Its description in RNAcentral is "bacterial SSU rRNA". The stretch from base 1450 to 3794 matches the Rfam family "Eukaryotic large subunit ribosomal RNA", at positions 1 to 3050 of the family's 3401-position model. Lineage: Eukaryota; Fungi; Microsporidia; Pleistophoridae. The record is from RNAcentral.